UCGCAAAGGUUCUCCUUUAUGGAGAUUAAUAGGGAAUCGGGUGAAAAUCCCGAGCAGUCACGCUGCUGUAAGUCUCUAAACCAACCGUGCGGCUUUAUGCCACUGGGGCCAAUCCCCGGGAAGGUGCCGCAUCGGUGAGAUAAGCCAGAAGACCUGCCUUGCCGGU
RNAcentral lists this non-coding RNA (166 nucleotides) under human gut metagenome. The record is from RNAcentral.